GACGUAGGGCGCGAGCGUUGUCCGGAUUUAUUGGGCGUAAAGAGCUCGUAGGCGGCUUGUCGCGUCGUCUGUGAAAACCCGCGGCUCAACGGCGGGCUUGCAGUCGAUACGGGCAGGCUGGAGUUCGGUAGGGGAGACUGGAAUUCCUGGUGUAGCGGUGAAAUGCGCAGAUAUCAGGAGGAACACCGGUGGCGAAGGCGGAUCUCUGGGCCUUACCUGACGCUCAGGCGCGAAAGCUAGGGGAGCGAACAGG
RNAcentral lists this ribosomal RNA (253 nucleotides) under uncultured bacterium. Its description in RNAcentral is "partial 16S ribosomal RNA". It matches the Rfam family "Bacterial small subunit ribosomal RNA", at positions 524 to 776 of the family's 1533-position model. The record is from RNAcentral.